Sus scrofa (pig) is the source of this 8435-nucleotide non-coding RNA. Lineage: Eukaryota; Metazoa; Chordata; Mammalia; Artiodactyla; Suidae. The record is from RefSeq and is a predicted model, not a curated record.
GCUAUACAGCAAGAUCUCAUUGCUUAUCCAUUCAAAUGCAACAGUUUGCAUCUAUUUUGUUCUUUUUUUGGCUGAGUAGUAGUCCAUUGUGUAUAUAUACCACAUCUUCUUAAACUGGAACUUUGAAAUGCCUUUUGACACACCUUUUGACACACAUACGGCUGCCUCAGCAGUAGGGCUUCUUGUCAUUUAGAGCAGGUCCUUACACAUCUGUCCAAGGCACCCUCCCUCAUCUCCCUCCACCUCCUAAGUAGCUGGGGUCUUGGAGAGCAUGCUCAGGGGCACAACUAGCUGCCUGCUGGGGCCUCUGCUGAGACUCUUAUUGCCCUGUCUGCCCUGCUCUGGGGACUUCUCAUGUCUUAAACACCUACUGUGCCCAGAGCACUUUUAAGGGUGCUUAGCCAUUUCCCCCAGUCCGCAUGGCCAUGUGCAGUGCGUCCACCAGCACGAUUACACAGAAAUGUAAAGAGAGACGAGGAGAGUUUGCGUGAGAUGCUCAAGGUGACAGCGCACAUGGUGGAGGUGGAAGGCGCCACCGGACACUAGCGUCUAUCUUUGCUUUGUCACAGAAACAGCAUCUGGAAAGUGGGCAGGACCCCCUGCCGCAAAAUUCUGUGGGUGCUUGCUGUUAUUUUCUCACUUGUGCCUCUAAGCUUCGGACACGGUGGACCACUCAUCAGUACCUGAUGGGGGAGGCAGGGCCCCCGGGGCUGAGCUGCUCAAUCAGCAUCCUGAACUCCAAGUGCCUUUCUCUCUGCCCCCUUGGGUCUAAGCUGAAGAUUAGAUGAUAAAACAUCAUAAAACCAGAUUCGGACAAGGAAAUAAGUCGUGUCAUGCAUUGUGGAAGGAGGCUUUCCUAGGACAUGAGACAGUUUUCUGGCUGACUCUCUCCCAUCCUGUCAUUUCCAUCACACGCUUAACCCUUUCGGCAACGCCAUGAGCACUGAUCACUAGCUUUCCUAUUUCACAGAUGAGAAAACUGAGGCUGAGAGAGGAAAAGUGCCAUGGCUAAGAUCCUGCUAACCUUUGUUCUUAGGGAGCCCCAAUUCAAGGCAAGGGGAGCCAAUGCACACAGCCCAGGGGGCUGAACCAAGAUGCAAACACACGCUGCUGCCUCCAAGCCCAUUUUUCAUUACGUUGUUCUACCUGGAAGAGGCAGCAGGUGAUUCAGGAUGUCUGGGGACCAGCCAGCUGGACCCUGUACCUCCAUACUCUGCUCUGUGCUCUCAGGAUCUCAAAAUGUAUCAAACACCAGUUGUGCUUGCUCUUUGCAACUUUUCAUAAAAUGCUACAUGCAGAGACAGCGAUAUUAGCCUGAAUCCAACCAAGUCAACUGGCUGAAAACUGGCUGGAUCAAAGUGGCUAUAUUUAGCCUCUGUUAUAAUAGCCUCUGCUAUUAAGAAUAGCGUGUCUUAGUGACAGAUCGGGGACCUCAGAAGGCCAUGUGUAUGCAUACUCAUUAACUAAGCAUUUGACUCUUGCAAGACAUUUCUGAGGCAUCACACGAAGAUACAGACAGAAGCUAGGUUUAAAAUGCUCAUCACAUCAUCAUUUAGAAGAAAUGACAUUGAAAUGAAAUUAUUCAACAUAACAGAAAUGGUCAAAUAAAUCACACUACAUCCACGAAACAGAAAACUAUGAGGCGAUUAAAAUAUGCCUCAGUUAUCCCAGCAUAACUGAUGGAAUAUCAACAUAUUUAUAAGACACAAAAAGAAAAGAUAUAAGCUGCCAAAUUAUUUCAAUUUUGUUUACAUAUAUCCAGAGAGAGAUUGGAAAGAGAGGUUGUCCAGAAAGAAAAAAUAGAAAGAGAAAGGGAAAGUGAUAAAAAGGAAAGGAAAAAAAUUGGGAAAAAAAAUGGGAGAACUUAUUAAGUGUUGCAAGUGUUUAUAUGACACCUAGACGAUGGCAUUACGGGGUUAUUUUUAUUCUAGCGCUUCUGGUGAUAAAUACAUAUUCAAUGAAAGUGCGAGCAUUGUGCAAUCAGAAGAAACCCACUCAGCGGGUCUGGUCUCAUGGCUACUUGAGGAGAGGGGGCGGGUCUCAUCCUCUCUUUGCUCUUUUCUUCACUCUUGAAAGAUUAAUUGAUUCUAUUUGGCUUCCACAAUGAGUUUCUGGGUUAAGAGCCAUUUUCUUCAGAUGUGACGAUUCUACUCUCAGUACAGCUCUGUUGUUCCUGAGACUAAAUAUUUUAUUUCUGAAUUCUCUCUCGAGUGCUCACUCUCACUGCUUUUAACCAGACAUCACUGGUGCUGUCCUUGGAGUCACAAAUGAGCUUGAUAAUUUUCUUCUCUGAAUACAUAAUAGUCAACAGUUAAAGAAGAAGGAGAAAGGGAAAGGGAAGAAGAGGAAGAAGCGGGGGAGGGGAGGAGGGGAGGGAGGGGGGAAGCAAUCGUUUCGGGUGAAAAUACCCAUUAGAUUUCACAUUCUUGAGUUAAAACAGUAGCUCUUCCAUUGACUAAUGACCUUGGUCAAUUCCUUUAAUGACUCUGGGUCUACAAGGUUUCCGUUUCAUCUUUAAGAUCUCUUUAAAACUUGGCCCUAAAACUCUGAUGUAUUUUGCAUUUAAGACUAUUUUCUCUGGUUCUUAUUUCAAAGACUUCAAGGCAGUGAUCUCCAGAGUCUCUUCUCAAUGAACACUAAGCAGAAAGGAGAUUCAGAUCCGAAUUGUUCUCCUAACUCCUGAUUCCACCAUGGCUGGUUCAUCCUUUUGGUUAAAUCCUUUGUCCAGGCUUCUGAAAUACACAAGCCUCAAGAGGGCUAAUGCCCACAGCAGUAAAGGGACAGGUUUCUCAGACUGUGGUCCCAGGUGACAUGAACAGUCUAGUCUGAUAGGAAGGGCACUGGUCAAGGAACAGGCAUGCGGGUACCAUGGUGGCUUUGACACUGAAUCUCUGGGGCUGCAGUUUUACAAAGAGACAAUGUCUCCUUAUCUACUGAACAUACGUCGGGUUCCAUGGUGGCUUUGACACUGAAUCUCUGGGGCUGCAGUUUUACAAAGAGACAAUGUCUCCUUAUCUACAGAACAUACACGCUGACCCUGAUGGACACCAGGCACUGGGUACUGGGUCAGGUGCUGCGAAUGGAAAGGGGUCACAACAGUAUGGUCCACGUUCCACUGAGUUCUAAGCUGUAGGGACCAAGGGAGCAGUCAGGUGGCUCUCACAGGAACACAGGCACACAGUGGUGACUGUCACACGGCAAACGCACCAGUGCUCAGCCAGGCUGGAGGAGACUUCUGGGGGGAACAGACUUUAGGCAGAGAUCUAAGUAGGAGCCACGAGGCAACGGAGAGGGAAGACAAGAGGAGAUGCAGACAACGUCCUACCUUCUAGGUGCGAGCUCUUCAGUGGAAAUGCUAAUACACAUGCAGCAUGAACACAUGGUCAUAGGCAGUAAGACUCACAAGGGAUGCUGAGAUCAAAUAAUAUGGGGGGAUUAUAAGAAGCAAGGUUAUUCUUACGGGAAGAUAAAACGUUUUGUCUAAGUAGGAAGAGGAAACUGAGCUGGGAACGUGAUGGUCUGGUGAUACCAGGGCAGAAGCAAGAAGAUACAGGUGGUGGGGUGGGCUGUGUAGUUAAGCAUCUCUGCCAGGUGUCACAGAACAAGCAAAGGCAGCCACUUCCUGAGGGUACCAGGAAGGUGCCCAGGCUGAGCCGGGGCGUGUGUCGGGAGAGAACUUGAAAAGGCUUAUUUCAAAGACCUUGAAGACAGAGCUUAGAAAUGUCCGGCUAUUGGAUGCUUCCCAGUUCAUAUCAAAAAGCCCUUUCAAACGUCUAGUGCUGUGGGCUGAGACUUGCUCUCAGAUCCAAUCCUGCCCUUGUGUUUUCUCUCUGGUCUCUGGCUGUUCCUCCUCAGGCAUCUUCAUGAGCUUCUUUUCAUCUGCUCACCCCAGAUGUUCCUGGGGUCCCAGCAGACCUUGGCUGCCUUCUCUUCAAAAUCCACAGAACUUCCAUAUGGAAAUUCAGCCCCGGUGCCGUCUUUAAUCUCUGGGUGUUUGCUGGGACUCUGAGUGGAUGACCCUCGGCUCAGAUCUUCCCCAGGAGCAGCUGUGCAUUCCCUGCGUUUGCAUUUUAUCACACUGAGGGACUUUUUGGCAGUGGAGGUCUCCUUUCCCUCCACCCCGUCUUACAUGGAACGGAAAUCCGCGUAAGCAUGAUUUCAUCAGUGCGAGGCAGUAUAUGUGUUUCAAGUGUAUAACAUUUGCUCAAGAAAAUCCAUGAAGCCGUAAGGUUGUGAUUGACAUGCAGGGUUGAAAUCAGGAGCUACAAAGCCUUGGUUAAGCGUUUUCCUUCUGAUUUAAUAAGAUACCGGACAUUUCCAACAACCAUUGUUUUUUUGUGUGUGAUAAAUACUUGAUUGCUCCCAUGUCUCCCCCCAACAUUAUUUUUGGUUCCGUUUUUGUUUAUUUAUUUGUUUGUUUUUGGCAUGAGGAAGCUCCUGGGCUAGAGACAGAACUCGAGCCACAGCAGUGACAGUGUCGAGUCCUUAGGCACCAGGCCACCAGAGAACUCCGGUUCUGUUUUUACUUUAAUCCCCUCAUGAUAAUAUUCAAGAAUUCUAACAUUGAUUCAAAAAGAAAAGUUCAGGAUCAAUUUUAGCAUCUAAGCUCUAUCUCUAAUUAUAUCUAACAGACGCCCUUCCUCGUGCAAAUUAAAGUCAGAUAUGACGCAUGGGGAGCUGGGAGUAAAUGCUGAAAUUCCACGUAACAAGAUUAUGGUAACCCAGGAUGCAGUCCAUUCUGCUCUCACCACACAGCACUGUGCUAAAUGAUGCAGCGGCCAGACCUGGCAUCUGGGCCCCUCACAGCAGCACUACGGAGGGGGCGCCUGUGGGCACAGAGUCAUGUGAUCAGAUCUGUGCCUGCCCGACUGAUUAAAGGUGGGUCCAUCAGCCCUACAAUGGCAUAUAUAUUGAAAUGUGGACAGAGAGAACAGGGAACAGCAGCACAGCUGGGGCUGGGGAGGAGGACAGCAGCUGACAUCUGAAUACCGCUACUGUUUCUAGGGGACUCCCAUCACCCAACCGCAUCUUCAAGGUGACCUUGCAAGAGAGGCUCUGUUCUUGCUAUCGUUUUCAUACGCAGAAACAGAGGUACCAGGCACUCGUUUCACUGUUUUAAAGAGGUGGAACCAGGGUUUGAACCCAGAUAGAUUGUAGACGUGGUUUUGUGCUCUUGAAGAGACCUUCAAUGGGUAAAUGCUCGUUAAAAUAAAGACAUAAGCAUGUCAUACAUUGCAUCUUUUUUAAAUGGUUUAGAAUAUUUAAAACAGUAUAACUGGGAUGACAUGUGCCUAAAAACGCAUCCCUGGGACACUGGCGGGGCAGCCUGAGAAGGUCUGAUUCUGCCACUAUUGCAACCAUGUCAGUGGGAGGGAUGAGGCUGGAGCACAAAACAGGCUGAGGAAGCGCUGACCCCAGGAAAGACUGGGGGCCUGACCAGAGGAAGGUCAGUGGGCUUGGAGGGACCAGAGGGAGGUCAGUGGGCUUGGAGGGACCCGAGAGACCUGAGGAGGCAGAGAAGGGCCCAGCUGAUAAGACCUGAAAUUUGACUGGAUGUGGAGGUCGGGGGGCGGGGCGUCAAGGAGUAAUUCUGGUCCUUCUCGCUGGACCAGUUCAGGGGCAGGACCAUUUAUCACACAGCUGAUUUGUUCCUUCAGCUGAUGCUCAGCACAAGUCCUGUUCUCAGCACUGUGGGUGGAGCAGGGAACAACAAGACCUGCCGGGCUCUGGAGCCAGACUCUCAGGGUUUGAAUCCUGGCUCCAUGACUCGCUGCCUAAGGGAUGUUGAGCACAUCUGCAAAUGCUCUGUGCUUAAAUUUCCUCUUCUGUAAAAAGGGACCGAUCCACGUAACAUACCGCUUAGAGGAGGUGUCAUAACAAGUACAUCCAUACACAUAAAUACUUAAAGCAUCCGAAACACUAUUUUCUAGCACCUAGAAAACACUCAGGAAUGAUUUACUGAAAGCGGCACUAUUAUUAAAUGGUAGAGGCGACAAAGAGAUGAAAUAAAUACGUAACAAAACUAGCUCUGAAGUAGCCUGAAGAAAAAGAAAGCAGAAUAAGAAACCGAGUGGCAACCGGAAACCUAUUUUUAAAAAAUGGGCAAGAAGCAUCUCUGAGGUGACAUUUGAGUAGAGACCUGACCGGGGUUUAUCAACAAAGCAAGUGUGGCGAAGACUGGGAGAGGGACUGACUUCCAGGUGGAAGGACCCCCCUGAGGUUCAGAAGCUCUGGACUGCGAAUGAGCUUGGUGCAUUCAUUCAAGGAAGAGUAAGAGCAAUGAGGAAGAGAGUGGGAGAUGAGUUUAAGGGGAGAGUCAAGGAUCGGAUCAUCCAGUGCCAAGCGGGACCCACUAAGGACUUGGUCUCUUCCUCCCAGGUCUGCAAAGUGAUGCAGGAGUUAAGAUCCAGACUGCCUGGAUGGGAUUCCCACCCCACCUCUUCCCAGAUGGAGUGGUCCAGGCUUCAGAAGUCAACCUGGACCCUAAGGUGACCUCAAGAGUGGAAGCUGCACGUCCGGAUAAAGGGGCAGAAGGACAGCGAGAAUGUCAGUCCCUGAUGCACCGUGGUCUCCUCACCCCUGGAAUUUAAUGGGAGUGGGAUUUUAUCUGGUUCCAGCCCCCCCACCGCCCCGGAGGUCACGUCUCUCUUACAAUCCCACGUAAUUAUGAACCAAUGUUGGUGCUCGUACCACAUGUGGGACAUGCUGCUUUAGACCUUUGAGUGUGCUGGGGGGUAGGAAUCAUGAGCCUUAGCCUACAGAUAAAAGACCUGAAGUCCACAUGGAGAACAGACUUGUGGGUGCCGGGGGUGGGGGAGUGGGAUGGACAGGGACUUUGGGGCUAGUGGAUGCAAGCCAUUACCUUUAGAAGGGAUAAGCAAUGAGGGCCUGCUGUCCAGCACCGGGAACUACAGCCAGUCUCUUAGGAAAGAACAUGAUGGGGGAUGAUGUGAGAAAAAGAAUGUAGGCAUUUGUGGGAUGGGCUCACGUUGCUAUGCAGCAGAAGUUGGCACAAUUGUAAAUCAACUAUAUUUUUUUAAUUCUUAAAAAAAUACACUGGGUUUGUAAAAAAUAUACAAAAUAAAGCUAAAAUAAAACAUUUGAUUUAAAAAAAUAAUAAAAAGACCUGACGUUCAGAGAGAUCAAAUGACUUCCCCAAAGGCGCAAAGCCAGGAAGAGACGGAGCCAAGAUGUGAAUCCAGUUUUUUCUGCCUCCACAGCCCCUGCUCCAUUCUUUUUUUUUGGGGGGGGAGGUGGGGAGUACACAGCAGCAUGCGGAAGUUCCCAGGUCAGGGAUCAAACCCAAGCCAUGUCAGUGAUAACACCAGAUCCUUAGCCACUAGACCACCAGGGAACUCUGAAAUUUGGUUCUUAAGAGAACCAGGGAAAUAGAAAACUCCACUUUUCUUUACUCAAAUGAACCAUCCAAUCAACUAGUCAAGUGGUCCUGGACUCUGCCCCCCACAUAGGACCCCCGCCCAUCAGCUGGGACUGUUUUAUGCCUCGGCCACCACUGGCAGGAAGCCUGGAAUCCAUGAGCUGCCCAAGGGCCUAGAAAAGACAGAGCUGCUGAGACACCCGGCCCUCCCACUGUGUGCCUCGGAUUUAAAAACAAACAAACAAACAUGUCAUAGGGAGUGCAGGCUUCCUCAUGUUACGUGUGAGCAUUUUGGACAAGAUGGGCUUUCUCAUUCUUCACAGAGAAAAGAGCGCUUGUGCCCUCAUCAGGGUAAACAGGCAGGAGAAUUUGCACCAAAAGCCAAAGCAGGCUUUCUCCAGCUUACAGCAGUGACUAUUCCACCUGUCUACCAACCUCAGCCAGCUCAGAUGAAAAUAUUUCUUUUCACCGCAUGACUGCCCUGUUGUCCGUAGGCACCCGAUGAAAAUGCAUCUGUGAGCAGAUCAGGAACAAAGGCCCUCUGCCACAUAGGAAUGUCCCCAGGGACUUUCUACGGUAAGGUGUUAAGACUUCAGAACCUCUUCUUGUAACUGUAAGUCACUGAGGGGAGAAGACUCAAUCAGCCAAUUAGCCAUCAUUAGCAUCAGCUUAUUAGCUGCAAUUACACAAUUCCAAGGUUCUGCUCUUGCGGGUGUCCCCAUGUGAAUUUCCUCUUUGGUAUUUUCCCCACAUAUCACGUGUCUCACUCUUCGAGUCAGACUUAGGAGGUGUCCGGGGAGGGAUCAAGAAACCGACUGUUUGCAAGUCCCUAGGGCAUCCUGAGAGGGGAGGUCCUGGGACCACACUGAGAGAAACCCUGCCGUGGUUCGAGGGGGUCCUGGGCUCUUCCAGCUCCAUCCUAGACUUCAUCCCAUCGAUACCCCAGACGCCACACACCGUGGUUCAUUCUUAGAGUCCCAAGGACCACUUGGCCAAAGCAGGAAGGAAAUUAUCCGGCCUCUUUUGGAUACUAUGCUUUUUUCUAAAUAAUCAUCAG